Molecule: ribosomal RNA, 440 nt
Filed under: uncultured bacterium
Lineage: Bacteria
Description: bacterial SSU rRNA
Rfam family: Bacterial small subunit ribosomal RNA
Source: RNAcentral
GGCUCAGAGCGAACGCUGGCGGCAGGCUUAACACAUGCAAGUCGAGCGGGCGUAGCAAUACGUCAGCGGCAGACGGGUGAGUAACGCGUGGGAACGUACCUUUGGUUCGGAACAACACAGGGAAACUUGUGCUAAUACCGGAUAAGCCCUUACGGGAAAGAUUUAUCGCCGAAAGAUCGGCCCGCGUCUGAUUAGCUAGUUGGUAGGGUAAUGGCCUACCAAGGCGACGAUCAGUAGCUGGUCUGAGAGGAUGAUCAGCCACAUUGGGACUGAGACACGGCCCAAACUCCUACGGGAGGCAGCAGUGGGGAAUAUUGGACAAUGGGGGCAACCCUGAUCCAGCCAUGCCGCGAGAGUGAUGAAGGCCCUAGGGUUGUAAAGCUCUUUUGUGCGGGAAGAUAAUGACGGUACCGCAAGAAUAAGCCCCGGCUAACUUCGUG